Molecule: long non-coding RNA, 767 nt
Organism: Mobula hypostoma (lesser devil ray)
Lineage: Eukaryota; Metazoa; Chordata; Chondrichthyes; Myliobatiformes; Myliobatidae
Exons: 3
Source: RefSeq, a predicted model, not a curated record
GAGGUAGACGUCCGGAAAGUGCAGUUAAAGGAGUUCUUUUCUAAUAAGUGUUUGAUUCCUGCUGAAGUGGAGCUAAUUGCCAGGACAAAGAGGAAACUGUUUGAUCUACACUACACUCACUCCAGUACCGAGAUUGCUCAAACUGCAUAUGAUUACAUUUGGAAGCUGAGUUUCAACUUGGCAGUUCAGAAGAAAUGUGGUGCAAUAUUACAGAGAUUAAGAGCGUGCAGUUGAUUCAGUUUUACAUGUACAUCCCAAUAUUUCUACUGGGAUUACCGUUCAAUGCAAUGGCCCUGUGGGUGUUCUGCUGGAAGCUGAGGAAGUGGACGGAGACCACAAUUUACAUGACCAGCCUGGCUGUGGCUGAUACCCUGGUGCUCCUAUCUUUACCUUUCAAGCUAUACAGCUACAAACGUGACUGGAAUCUCGGAUUAGGCUUCUGCGCAUUUCUUGAAUGUCUUUAUUUUCUGAACAUGUAUGUGAGUAUCUACAUCACUGUCUGCAUAUGCGUGGAUCGAUACAUUGCAAUAAAGUAUCCAUUAAAUGCAGUUCGUUACAGGUCACCAGUGAAAGCUGCGAUUGCAUGUGGUGUAACCUGGACUUCGGUGUGUCUGAUAAGAAUUCCCCUGCAAAUACAUUCCACCAUAGAAGCUCAAGACCAAAACCAGCGCCAAUGCUUUGUCAAUAGGUCCCGGCACCCUCCCAGCUCCUGGAUUGUCAUUGUCAUUGAGCUGGUUGGAUUUAUAAUUCCCACUAUCAUUUUGAGU